CCUGAGCGGGGGCGCGGUCCACGAUGCCCGCCACCCUGGCGCGGUGGGGGGCCGAAAUCAACGGUCCGAUAUCGGUGUUCGGAUCCA
This 87-nucleotide transfer RNA is filed under the name Mycobacteroides abscessus subsp. bolletii. RNAcentral's name for it is "tRNA-Ala(ggc)". Lineage: Bacteria; Bacillati; Actinomycetota; Actinomycetes; Mycobacteriales; Mycobacteriaceae. The record is from RNAcentral.